GUGUUCACUUGGGAGCACAUAGGCCAGAACUGGAAUGAAGAUUAGCAUGGCCCCUACACAAGGAUGACAUGCAAAUUGGUGAAGCAUCCCAUAUUUAA
RNAcentral lists this small nuclear RNA (98 nucleotides) under Microtus ochrogaster (prairie vole). The record is from RNAcentral. Lineage: Eukaryota; Metazoa; Chordata; Mammalia; Rodentia; Cricetidae.